UCCAAUGUGACUUUGUAAAUCUGUAAAUAACAUCUGUAUGCAACUUAUGUAGUAUUUUCCAUAGCUUUUGAAGUGGUUUAAGUAGUAACUAUUUAAAAAAGCACUUGUUUAGCAUUCUGGAGAUGUGUGGUACCAUAGAGGGAGAAACCGUCCUGCUGCUGUAGUUGAUGAUGGCAGCAGACUGGAUGUUACGAAUGACUUUCGAGCGUAGCCGUACAAGUGAUCCACUUCAGCGACCAGAGGAAAGGUCAUCCGUAAAUAGUUUCAUUGAAUGGAGCGUCUGCGCGACUGUCUGCGUGACGUGUGUCGGCCAGACACGAGUUUGCCGCUGUAAAGCGGAGGUCAUAAAACGCUCCCAAAGAAAGGAGCCGUGAGGAUGAGGCCGUUGAGAAAAUCUCAAACAUUCUUCUCAUUGUUCUCAAGACGCUGCACAGCCAAAACAACUUUGAGAGAAAGGAGGGGAAACAAAUGUGUGGCCAGACGGUCCGGCUGGAAUGAUGUGGGACUCGUGUACAGAGGAAAGACUGAGAUCACUGCGAAAGUCACCAACUGCGCCCUCAAUUUAGGAAAGCUGUUGAAAGGAAAGAUCCGAUGGAAAAUAUUAAAUGGAGAGCGAGAAAAAGUAAGAUGUUCCCGUUUCCAAGGCGUCACUCCAUCGAUUCUGGAUUAAGUACUGUAGAUGAUUUCAACAAGUCAAGACCUCAUGAGAUCUGUCUUGAAAUGCAGCUGCAAUAUCCAGGUACUUUUUUUAAAACCGAGUACAUUUCUUUCUUCGUAUGAUUACAUACAAACACAGUAUGGGACCGAUUUGAAAUAUUUGGGGUGGAAAAGCAACGCUCCUCGUGCGAAAUGCACACAUAUUGGGUAAUAUUAAGUUUAUCAUUGCUAAUUUUGUUAUAUACAGUAACACCUUUCUCUUUUUGCUGUCCAGAUUAGCAUUUUUUCUGCGUGUCGCAACGCAUUAUGGGAUUGGUUUGGCCAACACAAUGUUACAGCAUGUUUGUCGCAAAACUAAUCUUUUCAAAGAAACAAUGCCUAUGUUAAUAAGUCUUUAUUCCUCUUAAUGUUAGUCUCAGUUUGCACUUGGCACUCGGAAAGUCUGUAAGUGUGGAAAAACCUGUAAUGAUGUAUCUAGGAAAACAUUUCGGCUUAGAUUUUCGCAGCUGUUUCCCUCGGAGUCGGAUGGUGAAAAGAUGCUAUGUAGGAACAUCGAAUCACAUCCUCUGAUCAGCACCUAAAUGACUGUUAGUCACGCUCUGCAAAAUCUCCUCUUGCACGGUUACUGGGGAAAAACCUAAAAGCAUUAUACACCACAAACACGCACGCUCUAUAAAUACACGGAAAGCAUUGGUGGUCUUUGUUUAGAGUGUCAGCUCAUGAGUAAACUUGAGUAUCAUUAUCCUGGAUAUUUAAAGUAAAGACAUACACAUAACGCAAUGGGUUUACGUCAGCUAGGAGUUCCCCUUUAGUCUGGACUCUGGACACGUUCAAGUCCCUGUCAAGGCUGACAUUUGUAUUGACGCUGUUACUGGAAGGAUUCAGUUGACUGGUUAUGAUCCUGUAAACGUUCUUUCAGAAAUGUUUAAAGGAAAACCAUUUGAGGAGAAUGCAAAGUGACACGCUAAAACUGGAAAAUAUGUUCCUUCUUUCCGAGGGAUUUUAAAAAACUUGUAGUCUGUGUUAGGUUUCAUGCUGAUUUAUUUUUCCCAAAUAAAAGCUUUGGUUAUCUCAUACGUGUCUGUUCCAGAGCUUCAAAUGAUAUCUCAACAAUGUCUUAAAGUGAUUUGCCAACGAUUUACGAUUUCUCAUCAAAUAAUCGAACUUUCUAUAAGUAAGAUCAUGUCAAAGAUUGAAAUCAAAGUUUGAUACUCCAAACGUUAUUUGCAUUGACUUUAGCCUGCAGAGUCAAAGACUAUCUGAACUAUACUAAAACUUCAUAAACAAUGUAUUUUAUGUCUUGGUAAGGUAAAGAUGAGCAAUACGAUCUACAAUAUUAUAUAAUACAAUAAAAAAUUAUUGGUACUUUAGGGUUUUAUCAGAGACUCGAGACAUACUUGAUCACGAUUUUCUCUCCAAAAGCACUUCAUGUGUGAACUCCACAGGUUUUUCCUGCUUUUUGUCACUCCCAAAACUUUACACCCGACGAGAGACAGGGUGCGGAAUACUCAGCGUUUUUUUAUGGGCCGCGCGUCUUUCUGACCUCAUUUCAAACUGUCAUUGAAAAGCUAUUUUUAUAAGUCCACAGGAAGCCUAGUCAGCCAGACGCUAGCAGGAGGGGCCAUGAUGAUCACAGGCCGCAUGACAAAAAUUAGGUGCCCUUGGCAGUCACGCAUGCGUUUAAGAAGUCUGGCCAAAAAUUACAAUUCUGCCGUCGUUACAAAUGUAGCCAUGCUAUUUACUUCACAAAUCUUUAGCAGAAUGUUCACGUGACUUAUUGAUGUGGAAAAUGCAUAAGUUUGGUCUGCUUUAAUUGUGUUUACUUUUGCGUUUCCUUUUUGGAUCCUGAUCACUGUAUUCGUUCAUCGCGUGCUGAAGUACAGUGUAAACACAGAAGAAGUCUUCACCGGUUUGGAUCAUCGUGACUGUUUGGUGAAAGCGUGUGGGUAACUGAUCACACAACUUUUAUUUUUAGAUCCUUUGCUAUCUGUCUGCUGUUGUUUGUCGAGUCUUUCUCACAGAUCUAGAUCAUGUGUAGGACCCCACCUCUGAGCCCUUACACUAACACACCUCUUCUGCUGGCCAGGGGAAUUCCUGGCAGAGUGAUUUUUAAACCUAAUGUCUAAAUCACAUUGCCAGGGAUUUCCAAUGGCUUGCAUGAGGAGACUGCAGACAUGCCAAAUGUACUGUAUACACAAACACACACACACCUGAACGCUCCACACGCUAAUCCUGAAGGAAUGUCAACUGUCUGAAUGAAGUUCUUGUGCAAAUUUACGCACACUUUCCAUGGUUUCCGUGAGGUUGUACGGUUUCGGGACUUAACCCUCUUGUGAACAGUGUUUUGGACUAUCAUGUUCACAGUGGUUAAGUUCUGCCAUCCUGGAACCAAAAGCUGCACAGCGAUCUGUAAAACAAGAAUUAACCAACGUAUAUUAGCGUACACACCAAUGCACGAUCACGAUAAUGAUAAUUGGCUACGAGGCGCAGUACACGCGCAAAUCAUUUACAUUCAAUUAACUAAUAUUGCAUAAUUCCUUUGAUUAAAACUUUGUAAUUGUUCACAUGUCAUUAAAUGUAUAAAUGUGCUGUUUUUGUUGUAUUUACAGCUGUUAUAACCAGCAGAUGCCAUCAACACAAUGAGUUUCGCGUAUCUCUAAAUAGUGAUUUUAGUUAUCUAGUGUAAUCUAAGAUCUUACCUUUUGGUAUAAGUAGAAUAAAAACAUUAUCAAGACAAUUUCACUGCAACUGCAACAGCGCGGGACACCUGAGGUAAUUUCAUGUAAAUAUUGGACCUCAGCUUCUCCACGGUGCAUGUCAUUUCAAAUGCGCGUGCACUUGACUUUAGAUUCAAGUGACACGUAACAGUUAAUUUGAUUGGCUGUCAUUGGUUUAGCGUGAACUCCGCUUUUUUCUUUAAAAUAAAUUUUGUUUAAAACUAUAUUUUUUUAUCGUUAUAAGCCCUUCUGUGAAUGUUUACAAUCUGUUGUGUUAAUAUAAGAUGGCCUUAUUUUUAAAUUUGGUUGAUAUCAGAUGUUGAAAAUAUAAUGCACAAUGAAUUGAAGCAAAUAUCAAGUUUGUGUCUUUUUUAUUUUUUAUUAUUUUUUUAAAGAAAUGCCGUAUGAGCUUCAAUGUGUAACCGGUCAUUAAAUGACAAAUGUUGUUUCUCAGCAGUUUUCCUCCUAAUAUUCUUCAGAUGUUCAUAAAAUUAUGCUGAAAAUUUUAAAAUAAAAGUCCCUUAUUAAAAUACA
Non-coding RNA from Paramisgurnus dabryanus, 3908 nucleotides. The record is from RefSeq and is a predicted model, not a curated record. Lineage: Eukaryota; Metazoa; Chordata; Actinopteri; Cypriniformes; Cobitidae.